Chelonoidis abingdonii (Abingdon island giant tortoise) is the source of this 95-nucleotide non-coding RNA. NCBI's taxonomy places the organism in Eukaryota, Metazoa, Chordata, Testudines, Testudinidae. The record is from RefSeq and is a predicted model, not a curated record.
CUGCCAACCCCCACAGGGAUGCCGGAUCAGCAAACCAAAAAAAAAAAAAAAAGUGUUCGUGCCGCCCUAGGAUUGGGCAGAAUGCCGCCCCGUAG